This 403-nucleotide ribosomal RNA is filed under the name uncultured bacterium. RNAcentral describes it as "partial 16S ribosomal RNA". It matches the Rfam family "Bacterial small subunit ribosomal RNA", at positions 30 to 526 of the family's 1533-position model. The record is from RNAcentral.
AUUGAACGCUGGCGGCAGGCCUAACACAUGCAAGUCGAGCGAGCGGCGGACUGGUGAGUAAUGUAUGGGGACUGCCCGAUAGAGGGGGAUAACUACUGGAAACGGUUGAUAAUACCGCAUACUAUCGGAUAGCCCAUAUGGGCUUAGCUAGUUGGUGAGGUAAAGGCUCACCAAGGCAACGAUCCCUAGCUGGUCUGAGAGGAUGACCAGCCACAAUGGGACUGGGACAAGGCCCAGACGCCUACGGAGGCAGCAGUGGGGAAUAUUGCACAAGGGGGGAAAGCCUGAUGCAGCAAUUCCGCGUGUAUGAAGAAGGCCUUAGGGUUGUAAAGUACUUUCAGUCUGGAGGCGUUACCGACAGAAGAAGCACCGGCUAACUCCGUGCCAGCAGCCGCGGUAAUUC